GUCCCAGUAGCGCAAUGGAUAGCGCGUUGGAUUUGUAAUCCAAGGGUCGCGGGUAUGAAUCCUACCUGGGAUG
This is a non-coding RNA of Trichonephila clavipes, 73 nucleotides long. Lineage: Eukaryota; Metazoa; Arthropoda; Arachnida; Araneae; Nephilidae. The record is from the annotation of a GenBank genome assembly.